AUGGAUUUUGAUAGAGAAUUUAAUGACCAAUUAAGAGCACUUAUUUAUUAUUUUUUUUUGUUAAGUGUACCGGCUAUUGUAUCUACAGUCUAGGUUACAUAUUUGCUGGAAGAUCUUUAUUGCAAUUUAAUAUUAUAUAAAUUACAGUUUAUAUCAUUGAUUUCACGUACAAAUGCAGAAUUAAAAAUCACAAGAUGUCAAGGAAAAAAGUUCUAAAACAGUGUUCGAGCCAGGAAGCUUUGGUUUUGAUGCAUCAACUCAAAGAUUAUUCUAAGCAAGAAUGUAGUCAAAAUAACAAUUUCCAAAUUGAUCUGCGAAGAAGAUAGCACGUGGUUUGAUAGCACUGCAUAGCAGAUUGGAUUCUAAUAGCAUAACGGGUUAUUACUUGGAUAAAUGGAGACAAUCCGGAGAGAAGAUAGUCAUUUUGGAGGGAAUUAAUAAUAAGCAUUUAAAAUAUCUUUACAACAAAACCAAAUAUUUUGCUCUCGACUUGCAUAAGCUCUACGAACGAUGGUCAAAUGGAAAAGAAAUUGUAGUCUUAACAGUAUUUGGAAUGCAGGAAGAUAUACAAGAAUUUUUUGAAGCACUAAUACCUUACGGUACAAUAAAAAUCACCUAUUAGAAAUACAUAUGUAUGUAUGCGUUUGUACAAAUAUUUUUCAUGUGUACUUUACGAUGAAAUGCACACAUUAUAUUUUUUAUUUAUUGCACUUAUUAGAAAUCUAUUGUAAUAAUUCAAAGAACAUUUUUAUCAGUUAAUAGAACAAAAUACUAAUAGUG
Molecule: long non-coding RNA, 780 nt
Filed under: Polistes canadensis
Lineage: Eukaryota; Metazoa; Arthropoda; Insecta; Hymenoptera; Vespidae
Description: uncharacterized LOC106792752, transcript variant X1
Source: RNAcentral